ACCCAGCAUGGUGGCACGUGCCUGUAGUCCCAGCUACUCAGGAGGCUGUAGUGGGAGGAUCAGUUGAGUCCAGGAGUUCUGGGCUGUAGCGCGCUAUGCCGAUUGGGUGUCCGCACUAAGUUCAGCAUCAAUACGGUACCUCCCGGGAGUCCGUUGCCUAAGGAAGGGUGAACUGGCCCAGGCUGGAAACAGAGCAGGUCAAAACUCCUGUGCUGAUCAGUAGUGGGAUCACACCUGUGAAUAGCCACUGCACUCCAGCUGGGCAACAUAGCAAGACCCCCAUCUCUU
This 288-nucleotide signal recognition particle RNA is filed under the name Callithrix jacchus (white-tufted-ear marmoset). Its description in RNAcentral is "Metazoan signal recognition particle RNA (ENSCJAG00000041592.3)". It matches the Rfam family "Metazoan signal recognition particle RNA". From Rfam's summary of the family: The signal recognition particle (SRP) is a universally conserved ribonucleoprotein. It is involved in the co-translational targeting of proteins to membranes. The record is from Rfam by way of RNAcentral. Lineage: Eukaryota; Metazoa; Chordata; Mammalia; Primates; Cebidae.